AGAGUUUGAUCAUGGCUCAGGAUGAACGCUGGCGGUAUGCCUAACACAUGCAAGUCGAACGAUGUCUUCGGACAUAGUGGCGGACGGGUGAGUAACGCGUGAGAAUCUGCCUCUAGGAUGGGGAUAACGGUUGGGAACGACCGCUAACACCCAAUAUGCCGUAAGGUGAAAAAUUUAUUGCCUGGAGAGGAGCUCGCGUCUGAUUAGCUAGUUGGUGGGGUAAGAGCUCACCAAGGCUUCGAUCAGUAGCUGGUCUGAGAGGAUGAGCAGCCACACUGGGACUGAGACACGGCCCAGACUCCUACGGGAGGCAGCAGUGGGGAAUUUUCCGCAAUGGGCGAAAGCCUGACGGAGCAAUACCGCGUGAGGGAGGAAUGCCUUUGGGUUGUAAACCUCUUUUCUCAGGGAAGAAGAUCUGACGGUACCUGAGGAAUAAGUAUCGGCUAACUCCGUGCCAGCAGCCGCGGUAAUACGGAGGAUGCAAGCGUUAUCCGGAAUCAUUGGGCGUAAAGCGUCCGCAGGUGGUUUCCAAAGUCUGCUGUUAAAGACUGGAGCUCAACUCCGGAACGGCGGUGGAAACUUGGAAACUAGAGUUCGGUAGGGGUAGCAGGAAUUCCCAGUGUAGCGGUGAAAUGCGUAG
Molecule: ribosomal RNA, 640 nt
Filed under: uncultured marine microorganism
Description: bacterial SSU rRNA
Rfam family: Bacterial small subunit ribosomal RNA
Source: RNAcentral